Dermatophagoides farinae (American house dust mite) is the source of this 1387-nucleotide non-coding RNA. NCBI's taxonomy places the organism in Eukaryota, Metazoa, Arthropoda, Arachnida, Sarcoptiformes, Pyroglyphidae. The record is from RefSeq and is a predicted model, not a curated record.
CACACACUCAUACCUAGGAAUUUCAACAAAUCAAACGUCUAAUUUCAUUUCAAAUCACAUAUACACUUGACAAAAAAUAGACUUUCAUUUAUUGUUUUUCUGAUGGAAAAAAAUACAGUGCCACUAUACUUUUAUCAUCAUUUUAACAUCAUGAUACUUGAUUCUGUUUUAUCGUUUCAAAUCCUUCAAAUGUUUCCAUUUUCUAAUCGACGAGAUUCGCUUUUUCAAAAAAAAACCGAAAGAAUAAGUAUGCCAUUUCCGCCAAACAAAACAAAAAAGAUCAUAAUCACGAAACCAAAACAUUUUUUUCAAAUCAGCGAUUAUAGUGACAAACAAAAUUACAUCAACAUCUGCUUUGCAAUGUACAAAAUUGCAAAUAAAAACAAAAUGAAAAAGAAUUUCAUCAUCAUCAUCAUCAACAUCAAAUGUAUCGAUAUUUCGAAACAAAAACAUCUGAAAUUUUAACACUUCGGACACAUUGGUGUCCACCUGUCAUUUUCUUGUAACAUACAACCUGUCACACAUACAUUAUAUUGUUGUUUGACAAUAGAAGAUAAUAUUGGAUCAUACAAUGCAAUAAAAAUGUGUCAUCCUAUUGUCAAACUUUAUAUAUAUAAAAGUUGACUUUUAUUCUUCGUUUCACACUCCAAAUGUUGGCAAAACGUUUAAUAGCACCAAGUAUUAUUCAAGCUCGAAUUUCUGCCCACACACACGUACAAACGAACUAACAAGAUGACAAAGACAAACAUUUCAUUCAAUUCAAUUUAAUUUCUGCCCAAAUAAUAAUGUACAUGGACAUCAUCAUUGUAAAGUUUUCUUUAUCUUUGGUUUGAUGUUCAUAAUUUUUCCAAUGAUCAAUUAAAUAUUAAUGAGCAUUUUGAACAUUGUCAUUAUCAUCUCUUAUCAAUGGCAACUAAUGAAUCUUGAAAAUAUCAUAUUUGAUCGCUAUAAGCGCUUGCGCUCAUCGAAAACGAAAGGGUUUUGUUUUUCAUUACACACUGACCUUCAUCCGUUAUGAAUAUGAAAAAUUCCAAUUUCACAAACCCAAACACAUCUAUCACUGCUGCUGCAAUAUCCGAUAUAAAAAUUAAUGAAACUGGACUAAACGAAAUUUUUUAUUCUUUUGAUCUCGUUGCACAUCUUUAUCAUUAUUCUUAUUAUUAGAAUCGAUCCAAAAUACAGAAAGCCUGGAUGGAUGACCAUAAAACCAGAACCCCGCAAAAGCAUCAAACUGAUAUAUGAUGCAGAAUUUUUCUCUGAUGAUGACCAUACAAUAUACCAUACUAUAUAAUGACACAAUAUUAAUCUAGUAUUAUUAAUCAUCAUACACCUUUUGAGCAUCUACUUCUUUUCUGGCAAUACGAUCAUCAAUGAUUAUAAAACAAAA